UGCUAGGAUGUAAGGAAAGGGAGGCUGAUUUAUCGUUGGUAGAAUUGUAAUUUAGCUCUACCAUCGUGGAUAUCAACGUGGGGCUUUCUGAAAAACAUACAUUAGACCUAUGUGCUCAUUAGUUUUUUUCAAACCUGACACAAGCCAGAGUCACCUGGGAAGAAGGAAUCUCGGUUGAUGAGUUACCUCUACCACGUUGGUUUGUGGGCAUGUCUAAGUGGCAUUUUUUCUCGACUGUUAAUUGCUGUGGAAGGGCCGAGCCCACUGAUAGAGGUGGGCCUGAAACGUAUAAGAAAGGUAGCUGAAUAUCAGGCUGAGAGCAAGCGAGUAAUCAGCGCUCCUUCGUGGUUCCUCACCCAACUUCCUUCAGUGGUCAACUGUGAUCAGGAUGUAAUGGCAAGAUAGCUCCGCAGAUGAAAGUGCUUGCCAUAGGCACCAAGCCUGAUGACCUGAGUUUGAUCCUCAAGUGGAAGAAAGAAUGGAUUCUAGGGAGCACCCUGACCCAAGGUGUGCCCCCGAUAACUAGGCAAUUCCUGCAGGCUCCGAUAUCAUCCUUCAGGGAACUCAACGUCAUCUUCUGCUCUGAGGCUGGAAAGACCCCACCCACCACACACAAACCAGUCAACCCGAUUGCAGCGGCCUCAGCUAUUCACUACCCAGGUCCUGGUGGCUGAGCAGCACCCUGAGCUUGCUGGAGGCUGCAGAGAGAUGCAAGCAUGAGUUGUGAAGCCUCCGCCUGCUCAGAGUGUGUGAGGACACGUACGUUGUUAUCCACGGAGGCACAGGUCUGAGAUGCCAAGCAUGCACCUUGAUGCCAAGUUCUGGGCAUUGAACUCAGGUCCUCAUGCUUGUGAGGCCAGCAGUUGACCAACUGAGCUUCACUCUGGUCCAGCUACAGCAAGCUUCUUCAAAGACCCCAUUUUCCCCACCAGUCUCACCCAUUGUCCAGAGCAUCUGACUUCAGGUCCUGCCUGCAGCAAUUACAGAUGAGGUAUUCAAAUGGACUCCUAUUUGUUUCUGCAUUUAUUAUUGGAGUCCAUCUGGAAAGAAAAUCAAGUGGACUUUCUGAAGGGUUAUCUUUGUCAACUUGACCUAGCAUAGAACCACCUUUGUAGAGAAACUUGGUGAAGGACUAUCUAGAUCAGGUUUGGGCUGUGGGGCUUCUCUAUGGGGGAUUGCCUGGAUUGCUUUAACUGAAAAACACCACCUGGCAGUGGAUGGCACUGUUUCCUGGCAUGGGCCCUGGAAUGUACAGGAACAGACAGAGUGAGCUGAGCUCCUUCUCUCUGCUCUUGACUCUGAAUGUGCCUUGGCUCAGUGCUUCAAGUCCUGCUUGUGUGACUUCUCAGCAAUGAUAACCUGGAUUUGUGAGCUGUAAACUCUUCUCUUUUCAGCUCCUUUUUGUCAAGAGAUUUUAUCACGGUGAAGGAAAUGAAACUAGGAUAGGAUGUUCCUUUUUAGAGCCCCACCAAAAAAGCUUUAGGUCUGCAGAGUAAAUGUUAGGGGACGGAAGUCCCAGAGCUCUCACACAAUCCAUGGUCUGUCUGAAACUCCCAGUCUGCAAGAUCUCCUAUUGGAGUGUAGUUCUUUUUAGUUUUUCUUUUUAAAAGGAUUUAUUUUAUUUCACUUUGGGCAAGAGACAUAGCUCAGCAGUCAAGAGCACCUACAGCUUUUCCAGACAUGCUGAAUGUAGCUUACAGAUGCCUGUGACUGCAGCUCUAGGGAAUGUGACUCCAUCUCUGGUUUCUGCAGACACCUGCACUCAUGUGCUCACACCCACAUGCAAACACAAAGACACAUACCCACAUACAAACACACAAUUAAAGAUAAAUCACUUUGAAAGAUUUAAAGUGUGUACAUGAGUGCUUGUGUUUGUGUGCAUGUAAAGGCAGGUUCUCAUGGAGGCCAGGGUUGUAGCUGGCUUCCCUAGAACUGGAGUUACAAGUGGGUGUGACUUGACCAAUACUGAUGCAGAUAUUCACACACAACCAUCGGACUGAGCCCAGGGACCCCAAUGGAAGAGCUA
This is a long non-coding RNA of Mus musculus (house mouse), 2026 nucleotides long. RefSeq annotates it as predicted gene 16553. The transcript has 5 exons. Lineage: Eukaryota; Metazoa; Chordata; Mammalia; Rodentia; Muridae. The record is from RefSeq and is a predicted model, not a curated record.